This is a long non-coding RNA of Gallus gallus (chicken), 1105 nucleotides long. RefSeq lists it as uncharacterized. The record is from RefSeq and is a predicted model, not a curated record. The transcript is spliced from 6 exons. Lineage: Eukaryota; Metazoa; Chordata; Aves; Galliformes; Phasianidae.
GGCUGCACUAAUUGCUGAGGAGGAAGUACUCAGCCUGUGCACUGAUUUCUCUAAAGCUUUGCAGGUUUGAGCUCACUUCUGCAUUUGGUAAUCUUCUAAUACCAGUCCUAUUUGCUUGGUAACAUGGAAGACUUUGAAGAACUGAAGCCAAUUCAUCUUGUGUCAAGAUGGCUGGAAACUCCCAGCAAAUCGAGGGUGAUGGGAAGAUUGAGGUUAUUCUCAGCUUUGGUCAAGGAUAGUACCAGGCCACCGUGCUAGAUAAAACUUCUUUAAGGCACCUGAGAGAGAGAGGGAAAGAACACCUCCAGAGAGCAGCCUGCUGAUAGAACGUACUUCUAACAAUAUGUGAGAGAGCAGCAAGUUAUCAGACAUAGGGACAGAAGGGGAAGAUGAAGAUAGCCUUCUUGUUCCAUAAGAAGUGGGAGGUGAUGCGGGAAAGAAGACAGAAAAGCUGAUUCGGGAAGAUAACACAGCAGUUUACAACAUGGAGGACAAGAAAUCCUUGAAGGCUUUGUAAUUGUUUUAGUAUAUAUUUUUCAAUCAAAGUUCCUGCACUUCUGAAAACGUCUGGACUGUUUUGAAAGACAUACUGUGAAAUAAAAAGUUGGCUGAGUUGGCUGGAUCUAACCUGGACUGCGAUCCUAUUCACUAGGAAGCCAAAUUAUUGUGCUUGCCUGUCCAUGGAAGCAGUGGUAGAUCUUUUGGCCCAUGAGUUCUUCAUAUUCCUCCAGAUUAAAAGCAUGAAAGAGCGCAGAGAAACACAGGAAAGCUUGUCUCUGCAGUCAGGCGACGAUGAGGACAUGAAGAUGUAUAACUGUCCCAGGUGUGAGAACAGCACAGUUUACCCCCUCAGGACUUGUAACAGGCUUGCCUGAAGGAGAGUGAAAUAGGGUAAGAUUUGAGAAAGAACUCUGGCAUUUCUUUAUUGUGCAUGGUAGUUUAAUUUGUUAAGUGUUGCUAAGUUGUGCAAUAGUGCUACUGUAAUAUUCGUUACUUGUCUACUGCUGAGCUAAUCAUUUAAGAACCACCCACCCCUCUGCCUCCAUUUAUUCUACGUACUGAAUGUGGAGGGGCAUACUUUCCAUGAAUAUAUAUAGAUACUGAA